This 389-nucleotide RNase P RNA is filed under the name Protaetiibacter sp. SSC-01. Its description in RNAcentral is "Bacterial RNase P class A". It matches the Rfam family "Bacterial RNase P class A". Rfam says of the family: Ribonuclease P (RNase P) is a ubiquitous endoribonuclease, found in archaea, bacteria and eukarya as well as chloroplasts and mitochondria. Lineage: Bacteria; Bacillati; Actinomycetota; Actinomycetes; Micrococcales; Microbacteriaceae. The record is from Rfam by way of RNAcentral.
CGGGUCGGCCAGACGGUCGCGUCGCGUGCCCGGUGCCUCUCGAAGGCGCCGUGUGCGCGCCGAGGAACGUCCGGGCUCCGCAGAGCAGGGUGGUGGGUAACGCCCACCCGGAGUGAUCCGCGAGAAAGUGCAACAGAGAGCAGACCGCCACGUCGCGCAAGCGGCGGGGUAAGGGUGAAACGGUGGUGUAAGAGACCACCAGGGGCCCGAGUGAUCGGGCUCGCUGGGUAAACCUCGCCCGGAGCAAGGUCAGACAGGUGCCGUUGAGGUUGCUCGCCGAGGCACCGGGUAGACCGCUAGAGGGCUGCGGCAACGUAGCCCCGAGAGAGAUGGCCGUCCGGUCGGCUCACGUCGACUGACAGAACCCGGCGUAUCGGCCGGCCCGUUCG